Long non-coding RNA from Dendrobium catenatum, 97 nucleotides. RefSeq lists it as uncharacterized. The record is from RefSeq and is a predicted model, not a curated record. The transcript is spliced from 3 exons. NCBI's taxonomy places the organism in Eukaryota, Viridiplantae, Streptophyta, Magnoliopsida, Asparagales, Orchidaceae.
GUACUGUGCUCUUCGCUUGUUACAAGCAACUCUGGAUGAAUCUUUGUAUGAGCUUGCCGGGGAACUGGUUCAAUUCCUGCUAAGAUCUGGCAGAGAG